GAUGAACGCUGGCGGCGUGCCUAAUACAUGCAAGUCGAGCGAACGGACGAGAAGCUUGCUUCUCUGAUGUUAGCGGCGGACGGGUGAGUAACACGUGGAUAACCUACCUAUAAGACUGGGAUAACUUCGGGAAACCGGAGCUAAUACCGGAUAAUAUUUUGAACCGCAUGGUUCAAAAGUAAAAGACGGUCUUGCUGUCACUUAUAGAUGGAUCCGCGCUGCAUUAGCUAGUUGGUAAGGUAACGGCUUACCAAGGCAACGAUGCAUAGCCGACCUGAGAGGGUGAUCGGCCACACUGGAACUGAGGCACGGUCCAGACUCCUACGGGAGGCAGCAGUAGGGAAUCUUCCGCAAUGGGCGAAAGCCUGACGGAGCAACGCCGCGUGAGUGAUGAAGGUCUUCGGAUCGUAAAACUCUGUUAUUAGGGAAGAACAUAUGUGUAAGUAACUGUGCACAUCUUGACGGUACCUAAUCAGAAAGCCACGGCUAACUACGUG
Molecule: ribosomal RNA, 497 nt
Filed under: uncultured bacterium
Lineage: Bacteria
Description: partial 16S ribosomal RNA
Rfam family: Bacterial small subunit ribosomal RNA
Source: RNAcentral